CCUAAGAGUGUAUAUUUGAACGCUUUUAACUGAAAGCAAUUGUCCGUCGCACAAAGAGGAGAACCAAGGAGAAUCGCAUGAGAAAGGGAGUGUGGGA
This 97-nucleotide long non-coding RNA is filed under the name Scophthalmus maximus (turbot). RNAcentral's name for it is "lncRNA (ENSSMAG00000026523.1)". Lineage: Eukaryota; Metazoa; Chordata; Actinopteri; Pleuronectiformes; Scophthalmidae. The record is from RNAcentral.